Molecule: ribosomal RNA, 654 nt
Filed under: uncultured bacterium
Lineage: Bacteria
Description: bacterial SSU rRNA
Rfam family: Bacterial small subunit ribosomal RNA
Source: RNAcentral
CACGUGACUAACCUACCCCGGUGUGGGGGAUAACGGGUCGAAAGACUCGCUAAUCCCGCAUACGAUCCGCCUCGGCGGAGGAAAGCCGUAAGGCGCACUGGGCGGGGGUCGCGUCCCAUUAGAUAGUUGGUGUGGUAAUGGCGCACCAAGUCGAUGAUGGGUCUCUGGUCUGAGAGGACGACCAGACAGAUUGGGACUGAGACACGGCCCAAACUCCUACGGGGGGCAGCAGCAAGGAAUUUUCGGCAAUGGGCGCAAGCCUGACCGAGCAACGCCGCGUGGAGGAUGACGGCUCUUGGGUUGUAAACUCCUUUUGGGGGGGACGAUAAUGACGGUACCCUCCGAAUCAGGCCCGGCUAACUACGUGCCAGCAGCCGCGGUAAUACGUAGGGGCCAAGCGUUGUCCGGAAUUACUGGGCGUAAAGCGUGGGUAGGUGGUCGGUGAUGUGCCGCGUGAAAGCGCCGGAGUAAUGCCGGCGAGGUCGCGGUAGACACACGGACUCGAGGCUCGCAGAGGAACGUGGAAUUCCCGGUGUAGUGGUGAAAUGCGUAGAUAUCGGGAGGAACACCAGUGGCGCAAGCGGCGUUCUGGGCGAGACCUGACACUGAGCCACGACGGCGUGGGGAGCAAACAGGAUUAGAUACCCUGGUAGU